This 1011-nucleotide ribosomal RNA is filed under the name metagenome. RNAcentral describes it as "bacterial LSU rRNA". It matches the Rfam family "Bacterial large subunit ribosomal RNA", at positions 1919 to 2925 of the family's 2925-position model. The record is from RNAcentral.
CCCAGUAAACGGCGGCCGUAACUAUAACGGUCCUAAGGUAGCGAAAUUCCUUGUCAGGUAAGUUCUGACCCGCAUGAAAGGCGUAAUGAUUUGGGCACUGUCUCAACAGCCCGCCCGGCGAAAUUGUAGUACCGGUGAAGAUGCCGGUUACCCGCGACAAGACGGAAAGACCCCAUGGAGCUUUACUGUAGCCUAAUAUUGGGUUUCGAUGUUGCAUGCACAGGAUAGAUGGGACACAGGGAAGUGAUCGCUUUGGCGGUCAUGGAGUGGCCGUUGGGAUACCAUCCUUGCGAUAUUGGAAUUCUAACCUGCGCCUUUGAAUCAAGGCGGGGGACAUUGUUAGGUGGGCAGUUUGACUGGGGCGGUCGCCUCCUAAAGAGUAACGGAGGCGUUCAAAGGUUCGCUCAGCUUGAACGGAAAUCAAGCAAAAGAGUGCAAACGCAGAAGCGAGCCUAACUGCGAGACUGACGGGUCGAGCAGUAACGAAAGUUGGAGUUAGUGAUCCGGUGGUAUGUGAGUGGAAAUGCCAUCGCUCAACGGAUAAAAGUUACCCUGGGGAUAACAGGCUGAUCUCCCCCAAGAGUCCACAUCGACGGGGAGGUUUGGCACCUCGAUGUCGGCUCAUCGCAUCCUGGGGCUGUAUUCGGUCCCAAGGGUUUGGCUGUUCGCCAAUUAAAGCGGUACGCGAGCUGGGUUCAGAACGUCGUGAGACAGUUCGGUCCCUAUCUGUCGUGGGCGCAGGAUAUUUGAUGGGAGCUGUUCCUAGUACGAGAGGACCGGAGCGGACGUACCUCUGGCGCACCAGUUGUUCUGCCAAGAGCAUAGCUGGGCAACUAUGUACGGAUCGGAUAAACGCUGAAAGCAUCUAAGCGUGAAGCCGACCCAAAGAUAAGAUAUCCCACUGAUUCGAUCAGGUAAGAUCCCUUGAAGACUACAAGGUUGAUAGGCACAAUGUGUAAGUGGAGCGAUCCAUUCAGCAAGCGUGUACUAAUAGAUCGAGGGCUUGACCAC